CCCAACAAAGGUUUCUCUUGGGCCAUUAGCUCAGGUGGUUAGAGCGCACCCCUGAUAAGGGUGAGGUCCCUGGUUCAAGUCCAGGAUGGCCCAUUCGUUGUUGGGGGUAUAGCUCAGUUGGUAGAGCGCCUGCUUUGCAAGCAGGAUGUCAGCGGUUCGAGUCCGCUUACCUCCACUGAAAACUAUCCUGAUAACUAAAUCUCGGAGAAAAAUUUGUAUAAGUGGCUUAGGAUUGUCUGUCUGAAAAGAACCUAGCUUCUUGUCAUCUUUUUAUAGUUGAUAACAUGCUGGGCUCGCAUGGAUUAAUUCCAUGAGAAUUCAGUAGAACCCUGAAAACUGCAUAGAUUAGAAAGAAUAAAGCAUCUCAUGGAUGCAUAAUUCUGGUCCUUAUAAUUUAGCCUUAAAAAUAAAUUACUUAGUUCUAGAAUUCAUGUUUAAUUCUUGAGUAAAAGCCGAGCACAAUUGAUUUUGUGAUUGUAUUUAAGGUCAAGCUACAAAGGGCUCAUGGCGGAUACCUUGGCACACAGAGGCGAUGAA
This 537-nucleotide transfer RNA is filed under the name uncultured cyanobacterium. RNAcentral's name for it is "partial contains 16S-23S ribosomal RNA intergenic spacer and 23S ribosomal RNA". The stretch from base 103 to 175 matches the Rfam family "tRNA". Lineage: Bacteria; Bacillati; Cyanobacteriota. The record is from RNAcentral.